CAGUAGUCAUAUGCUUGUCUCAAAGAUUAAGCCAUGCAUGUCUAAGUACAUGCCGUAUUAAGGCGAAACCGCGAAUGGCUCAUUAAAUCAGUUAUGGUUCCUUGGAUCGUACCUUACUACUUGGAUAACUGUGGCAAUUCUAGAGCUAAUACAUGCAGCAGAGCUCCGACCUUCGGGGACGAGCGCUUUUAUUAGACCAAAACCAAUCGGAUCUCGGUCCGUUCUAUGUGGUGACUCUGAAUAACUUUGGGCUGAUCGCACGGACUUGUUCCGGCGACGUAUCUUUCAAGUGUCUGCCUUAUCAACUGUCGAUGGUAUGUUACGCGCCUACCAUGGUCGUAACGGGUAACGGGGAAUCAGGGUUCGAUUCCGGAGAGGGAGCCUGAGAAACGGCUACCACAUCCAAGGAAGGCAGCAGGCGCGCAAAUUACCCACUCCCGGAACGGGGAGGUAGUGACGAAAAAUAACAAUACGGGACUCUUUUGAGACCCCGUAAUUGGAAUGAGUACACUCUAAAUCCUUUAACGAGGAUCCAUUGGAAGGCAAGCCAGGUGCCAGCAGCUGCGGUAAUACCUGCUCCAAUAGCGUAUAUUAAAGUUGUUGCGGUUAAAAAGCUCGUAGUUGGAUCUCAGUUGCAGAGGGACGGUCCUCCUACCGGUGGUCACUGUCUUUUCUGAACGUCUCAGCCGGUUUCUCUUGAUGAUCUUCACCGGUUGUCUUGGGUGACCGGCAAGUUUACUUUGAAAAAAUUAGAGUGCUCAAAGCAUGCUUCACGCAUGAAUAAUGGUGCAUGGAAUAAUGGAAUAGGAUCUCGGUUCUAUUUUGUUGGUUUACGGAAAACGAGGUAAUGAUUAAGAGGGACAGCCGGGGGCAUUCGUACUGCGACGCUAGAGGUGAAAUUCUUGGACCGUCGCAAGACGACUAU
Molecule: ribosomal RNA, 925 nt
Filed under: Steatoda triangulosa
Lineage: Eukaryota; Metazoa; Arthropoda; Arachnida; Araneae; Theridiidae
Description: SSU rRNA
Rfam family: Eukaryotic small subunit ribosomal RNA
Source: RNAcentral